UACGUAGGGUGCGAGCGUUAAUCGGAAUUACUGGGCGUAAAGCGUGCGCAGGCGGCUUUGCAAGACAGAUGUGAAAUCCCCGGGCUCAACCUGGGAACUGCAUUUGUGACUGCAAGGCUAGAGUACGGCAGAGGGGGAUGGAAUUCCGCGUGUAGCAGUGAAAUGCGUAGAUAUGCGGAGGAACACCAAUGGCGAAGGCAAUCCCCUGGGCCUGUACUGACGCUGAUGCACGAAAGCG
This 238-nucleotide ribosomal RNA is filed under the name uncultured bacterium. Its description in RNAcentral is "partial 16S ribosomal RNA". It matches the Rfam family "Bacterial small subunit ribosomal RNA", at positions 524 to 761 of the family's 1533-position model. The record is from RNAcentral.